RNAcentral lists this unclassified non-coding RNA (345 nucleotides) under soil metagenome. Its description in RNAcentral is "partial contains 5.8S ribosomal RNA, internal transcribed spacer 2, and large subunit ribosomal RNA". The stretch from base 1 to 121 matches the Rfam family "5.8S ribosomal RNA", at positions 35 to 154 of the family's 154-position model. The record is from RNAcentral.
GAUGAAGAACGUAGCGAAAUGCGAUAAGUAAUGCGAAUUGCAGAAUUUCCGUGAGUCAUCGAAUCUUUGAACGCACAUUGCGCCCACUGGUAUUCCGGUGGGCAUGCCUGUUCGAGCGUCAUUAUCCUCCCUCAACCCCCGGGUUUGGUGUUGGACCCAAGUUGUGUGAACAACUGGUCUCAAAGACAAUGACGGCGUCCGUGGGACCCUCGGUGCAACGAGCUUUUAGGAGCACGCAUCGAGUUGCAAGGACCUUCCGGGCCGGUCUCCUUUACCAUUUUACAAGGUUGACCUCGGAUCAGGUAGGAAUACCCGCUGAACUUAAGCAUAUCAAUAAGCGGAGGA